Molecule: ribosomal RNA, 268 nt
Filed under: uncultured Peptoniphilus sp.
Lineage: Bacteria; Bacillati; Bacillota; Tissierellia; Tissierellales; Peptoniphilaceae
Description: partial 16S ribosomal RNA
Rfam family: Bacterial small subunit ribosomal RNA
Source: RNAcentral
UUAGCGGCGGACGGGUGAGUAACACGUGAGUAACCUGCCUUUUACACAGGGAUAGCCUCGGGAAACCGGGAUUAAAACCUGAUGAAACUAUCAAAAUCACAUGAUUAAGAAAGUUAAAAACUCCGGUGGUAAAAGAUGGACUCGCGUCCCAUUAGCUAGUUGGUGAAGGUAACGGCCCACCAAGGCAACGAUGGGUAGCCGGCCUGAGAGGGUGAACGGCCACAUUGGAACUGAGAAACGGUCCAAACUCCUACGGGAGGCAGCAGCC